Molecule: ribosomal RNA, 525 nt
Filed under: uncultured bacterium
Lineage: Bacteria
Description: partial 16S ribosomal RNA
Rfam family: Bacterial small subunit ribosomal RNA
Source: RNAcentral
UGGGGAAUUUUGGACAAUGGGCGCAAGCCUGAUCCAGCCAUGCCGCGUGCGGGAAGAAGGCCUUCGGGUUGUAAACCGCUUUUGUCAGGGAAGAAAUCUUCUGAGUUAAUACCUCGGGAGGAUGACGGUACCUGAAGAAUAAGCACCGGCUAACUACGUGCCAGCAGCCGCGGUAAUACGUAGGGUGCAAGCGUUAAUCGGAAUUACUGGGCGUAAACGUGCGCAGGCGGUUUUGUAAGACAGAGGUGAAAUCCCCGGGCUCAACCUGGGAACUGCCUUUGUGACUGCAAGGCUUGAGUGCGGCAGAGGGGGGAAUGGGAUUCCGCGUGUAGCAGUGAAAUGCGUAGAUAUGCGGAGGAACACCGAUGGCGAGGGCAAUCCCCUGGGCCUGCACUGACGCUCAUGCACGAAAAGCGUGGGGGAGCAAAACAGGAUUUAGAUACCCCUGGGUAGUCCACGCCCUAAAACGAUGUCAAACUGGUUGUUGGGAAGGUUCCUUCUCAGUAACGUAGCUAACGUGUGAAA